AAUGAACGCUGGCGGCAUGCCUAACACAUGCAAGUCGAACGAAGGCUUCGGCCUUAGUGGCGCACGGGUGCGUAACGCGUGGGAAUCUGCCCUCAGGUUCGGAAUAACAGCGAGAAAUUGCUGCUAAUACCGGAUGAUAUCGCGAGAUCAAAGAUUUAUCGCCUGAGGAUGAGCCCGCGUAGGAUUAGCUAGUUGGUGUGGUAAAGGCGCACCAAGGCGACGAUCCUUAGCUGGUCUGAGAGGAUGAUCAGCCACACUGGGACUGAGACACGGCCCAGACUCCUUCGGGAGGCAGCAAUGGGGAAUAUUGGACAAUGGGCGAAAGCCUGAUCCAGCAAUGCCGCGUGAGUGAUGAAGGCCUUAGGGUUGUAAAGCUCUUUUACCCGGGAUGAUAAUGACAGUACCGGGAGAAUAAGCUCCGGCUAACUCCGUGCCAGCAGCCGCAGUAA
RNAcentral lists this ribosomal RNA (449 nucleotides) under uncultured bacterium. Its description in RNAcentral is "partial 16S ribosomal RNA". It matches the Rfam family "Bacterial small subunit ribosomal RNA", at positions 29 to 523 of the family's 1533-position model. The record is from RNAcentral.